Molecule: ribosomal RNA, 253 nt
Filed under: uncultured bacterium
Lineage: Bacteria
Description: partial 16S ribosomal RNA
Rfam family: Bacterial small subunit ribosomal RNA
Source: RNAcentral
UACGGAGGAGGCAAGCGUUAUCCGGAAUUAUUGGGCGUAAAGCGUCCGCAGGUGGCUAUUCAAGUCUGCGAUCAAAGACUGGGGCUUAACCCUGGAAAGGCCGUGGAAACUGAAGAGCUAGAGUGCAGUAGGGGUAGAGGGAAUUCCCGGUGUAGCGGUGAAAUGCGUAGAGCUCGGGAAGAACAUCGGUGGCGAAAGCGCUCUGCUGGACUGCAACUGACACUCAGGGACGAAAGCUAGGGGAGCGAAUGGG